Molecule: ribosomal RNA, 1006 nt
Filed under: Enterococcus lactis
Lineage: Bacteria; Bacillati; Bacillota; Bacilli; Lactobacillales; Enterococcaceae
Description: bacterial SSU rRNA
Rfam family: Bacterial small subunit ribosomal RNA
Source: RNAcentral
CUGGCGGCGUGCCUAAUACAUGCAAGUCGUACGCUUCUUUUUCCACCGGAGCUUGCUCCACCGGAAAAAGAAGAGUGGCGAACGGGUGAGUAACACGUGGGUAACCUGCCCAUCAGAAGGGGAUAACACUUGGAAACAGGUGCUAAUACCGUAUAACAAUCGAAACCGCAUGGUUUUGAUUUGAAAGGCGCUUUCGGGUGUCGCUGAUGGAUGGACCCGCGGUGCAUUAGCUAGUUGGUGAGGUAACGGCUCACCAAGGCCACGAUGCAUAGCCGACCUGAGAGGGUGAUCGGCCACAUUGGGACUGAGACACGGCCCAAACUCCUACGGGAGGCAGCAGUAGGGAAUCUUCGGCAAUGGACGAAAGUCUGACCGAGCAACGCCGCGUGAGUGAAGAAGGUUUUCGGAUCGUAAAACUCUGUUGUUAGAGAAGAACAAGGAUGAGAGUAACUGUUCAUCCCUUGACGGUAUCUAACCAGAAAGCCACGGCUAACUACGUGCCAGCAGCCGCGGUAAUACGUAGGUGGCAAGCGUUGUCCGGAUUUAUUGGGCGUAAAGCGAGCGCAGGCGGUUUCUUAAGUCUGAUGUGAAAGCCCCCGGCUCAACCGGGGAGGGUCAUUGGAAACUGGGAGACUUGAGUGCAGAAGAGGAGAGUGGAAUUCCAUGUGUAGCGGUGAAAUGCGUAGAUAUAUGGAGGAACACCAGUGGCGAAGGCGGCUCUCUGGUCUGUAACUGACGCUGAGGCUCGAAAGCGUGGGGAGCAAACAGGAUUAGAUACCCUGGUAGUCCACGCCGUAAACGAUGAGUGCUAAGUGUUGGAGGGUUUCCGCCCUUCAGUGCUGCAGCUAACGCAUUAAGCACUCCGCCUGGGGAGUACGACCGCAAGGUUGAAACUCAAAGGAAUUGACGGGGGCCCGCACAAGCGGUGGAGCAUGUGGUUUAAUUCGAAGCAACGCGAAGAACCCUUACCAGGUCUUGACAUCCUUUGACCACCUCUAGAGAUAGA